This 238-nucleotide unclassified non-coding RNA is filed under the name uncultured fungus. RNAcentral's name for it is "partial contains small subunit ribosomal RNA, internal transcribed spacer 1, and 5.8S ribosomal RNA". The stretch from base 1 to 73 matches the Rfam family "Eukaryotic small subunit ribosomal RNA", at positions 1759 to 1831 of the family's 1831-position model. The record is from RNAcentral. Lineage: Eukaryota; Fungi.
GCAAACUUGGUCAUUUAGAGGAAGUAAAAGUCGUAACAAGGUUUCCGUAGGUGAACCUGCGGAAGGAUCAUCAUAAAUAUGAUUUUGAGUAUGUGUAUAUAAUAUAUAUACAUACUACUUCCAUAUACGCCCCAUAAUUAUAUAAUCGUAGUUAUAAAUCAUUAUAGUUUAUUUAUAAUAUAUUAGUACAACUUUUAACGAUGGAUCUCUUGGCUCUCGCAUCGAUGAAGAACGCAGC